AAGCACAUUCCACUGUCUUUUUUUCUAUCCUGGAGGGAAAAAAGCAAUUUCUGUUGUGCUAUAUAUGAACUUGAAGGUAAAUUAGCAGCAUGUCUAAUACAGCCAUUGCUGUCAGUCCCCUUCAUACAGUU
Tachyglossus aculeatus (Australian echidna) is the source of this 131-nucleotide small nucleolar RNA. Lineage: Eukaryota; Metazoa; Chordata; Mammalia; Monotremata; Tachyglossidae. The record is from RefSeq and is a predicted model, not a curated record.